RNAcentral lists this ribosomal RNA (433 nucleotides) under uncultured bacterium. RNAcentral's name for it is "partial 16S ribosomal RNA". It matches the Rfam family "Bacterial small subunit ribosomal RNA", at positions 29 to 507 of the family's 1533-position model. The record is from RNAcentral.
AACGAACGCUGGCGGCAUGCCUAACACAUGCAAGUCGAACGAUGCCUUCGGGUCUAGUGGCGCACGGGUGCGUGACGCGUGGGAACCUGCGUUACGGUUCGGUAACACUCCCCCUAAUUGGUGCUAAUCCCGGAUAAUUUCUGCGGAUCAAAGAUUUUCCGCCUUUGGAUCGGGCCGCGUUUGGUUAGCUAGUUGGUAGGGUAAAAGCCUACCACGGCGACGAUCCAUAGCUGGUCGGAGUGGAUGAUCAGCCACACUGGGACUGGGACACGGCCCAGACUACUACGGGAGGCAGCAGGGGGGAAUAUUGGAAAAUGGGCGAGAGCCUGAUGCAGCCAUGCCGCGUGUGUGAGGCAGGCGUUAGGGUUGUAGAGCUCUUUUACCCGGGAGGAUAAUGACAGUACCGGGAUAAUAAGCUCCGGCUAACUCCGUG